GGAAAGCUAUCGUUUGAAAAAGGGAAUAAAAGGGGAUGGGGUUUCUAGAAAACCCCCUCAUAUUUGCUGCUUUCCCUUCUAGCCGAAAGGAAUGAAAAGGUUUAUCCCUUUUAGCCCUUAAAUUGUCAAAAAGAAAAUUGAAGAGGAGGAAAUCAGCUUUCUUUUCCUUUAUUUGUGAAGAUUAGAACAAGUGAGGAUCUUUCUUUUGUCUCCAUUUAAGAUAAGGAGGAGAAGGCCAAGGUGACUACGGAACAAGUUGACGAACACCCUGGGAGUUGAAUAUCAAGAAAUUGUGUUGAGGUGUGUAGAGUCGACUAGUUGAUUUUCAAGUGGCAGCUCUAGUGUGGGCUAGUAGAAGGGAGUCCAGACGUAUACUUAUUUUGGGUGAGCUGCCAAAGUGUUUGUAUAGUUAGUCUCUGUCUGUAAAAGAUCCUUUUGUUGCGUAGUAGACUAAAAUGAUGUCGACUUCGGUGGGUUGGAGAUUCUACUUACCUGGGCUAUGAAAACUAUGUAUAUGUAAGUACUUGUCUUUUGGCUUGUAUAGUUUUGCUCAUGUACACUUUCCUCAAAUGGCCUGAAAAUGUUUUCUUGUUAGAAGCCCUGAAGGUCUUUUGUGAACUCAUUAUAAUCUAUAAGGUUUUAUGAAUGGCUCUUGAAGAACCACUAUGAA
Molecule: long non-coding RNA, 670 nt
Organism: Malus domestica (apple)
Lineage: Eukaryota; Viridiplantae; Streptophyta; Magnoliopsida; Rosales; Rosaceae
Source: RefSeq, a predicted model, not a curated record